UACGAGGGGGGCGAGCGUUGUUCGGAAUUAUUGGGCGUAAAGGGUGCGUAGGCGGUUUGGUAAGUCUUGUGUGAAAUCUCCAGGCUCAACUUGGAGUCUGCACGAGAAACUGCCGGGCUUGAGUGUGGGAGAGGUGAGUGGAAUUCCUGGUGUAGCGGUGAGAUGCGUAGAUAUCAGGAGGAACACCUGUGGCGAAAGCGGCUCACUGGACCACAACUGACGCUGAUGCACGAAAGCUAGGGGAGCAAACAGG
Molecule: ribosomal RNA, 253 nt
Filed under: uncultured bacterium
Lineage: Bacteria
Description: partial 16S ribosomal RNA
Rfam family: Bacterial small subunit ribosomal RNA
Source: RNAcentral